GUUUUCUACACCAUCUCCUUUCUUCAGCACGUUAUGCAUCAUCCUGCAUAAGGAUAUGUUAUUCUUAGGGGCUGGACAAUUCAUUGAUGGAAAAGCAGUUUUUAUUUAGAACUUGGAAAUCAGCAGUUUCUUGCCCUGUAUCAGGGACUUAUUCCACUGACAGUGCUGAUGUACCAUCCAAUGGGUUUCUCCUAAAUAUUUACUGUUCCCCAAAAGGGCUACAUAGAAAAGAGAUAGGAACCUGAUGGGAAUGGUGUUGGAUCUCAUGAAAACCAAUACUGGUGAAGAAAAUCAGUUUCUUAAAUCUGUUGUGCUUAAGUUUUUGAGCGAGCAUAAAACUUCAGCACUCUUAAAGAGGCAGCUGAAGGCCAAGCUGUGCAGCUUUGGGAAGUGAGCAGAGUGUAAGUUGCUGGUUAGACUGGAAAGUUUUUUCAGCUGUAUCUAUAUAGAGAAAGUGGGUAACCCCCUCCUGCCUUUUCCUAGUGUUAAGGAUCCCAUGAAACACUAGAACUAGUGACCUCCAACUUUUAUCUUGUGCAAGAUAAGCAAUGUCAGCAGUACUCUCUGCAUCAGCCACCAGCUCUUCUUCAGUCUGUAGUACAUCUGCAAAGACAGCUGGACACAUCUUAAGAUCCAUGCAGGUGCACCCCACUGUGGUCACAGAACAAAGCAGAAAUGGGAGACUCAAAGAAAAGAACCCAAGAAGCAACAGGAUGGAACUAGGCAAAGAUGGUGUUCUGACAUGGCAGGAAGUCGAGUCUGGAAGAAGACUGGCUGUGUGGCUAUGACUGACAUGGCUUUUUUCACUUAUCUUAGCUCUAG
Molecule: long non-coding RNA, 822 nt
Filed under: Cyanistes caeruleus (blue tit)
Lineage: Eukaryota; Metazoa; Chordata; Aves; Passeriformes; Paridae
Description: lncRNA (ENSCCEG00000013106.1)
Source: RNAcentral